This is a long non-coding RNA of Piliocolobus tephrosceles (Ugandan red Colobus), 678 nucleotides long. RefSeq lists it as uncharacterized. The transcript has 2 exons. Lineage: Eukaryota; Metazoa; Chordata; Mammalia; Primates; Cercopithecidae. The record is from RefSeq and is a predicted model, not a curated record.
AAAAUAAAGGACAAUGAUAUAAAUUCGGUUUAAAAAACAAAAUUAAAAACAAAAUAAAAAGAUAUAAUAAAAAAAAAAAAAAAAUGACUGAAAAAAGAAAAUAAAUUAAUAAUGAAUUAUAAUAGCGGACAUUAUGUGACAAUAUUUACAUGUGUGUUUUUUCUAUGACUGAAAAAAAAAAAAAAAUAUUCUAAGACUAUAUGUCUACAUAAGUAGCUUUAGAGUUCACAAUUUGUAACACAUAGCAUAUAAGAACAAAAACAAAACGGGUUUGCGUAUAUAUACAUAUAUAUUUAUAUGUAUAUUUUCAAUACUCUUCUUAAUCAUUAUAUAUAUCAAAACCCAUUCGUGUCUGUGAGUCGAAUUAUUUUGCUUCAGAAUCAUCGCAACUAUUAACUACUAAACUUGUUGAACAUAUACAAACAGACGUAAGUGAUUUUAGUGUUACUGUAACGACAUCUAAUACAGCUUUAGUUAAAUUGCAAAACACAUUUUCUGAACGAGGUACUUGAUAAAUUACAUACCCUGGAUAAUACCCUGUGUAAUACCCUGGAUAAUACCCUGUGUAAUACACUGGGUACGUUGUGUCAUACGUAUAAUAUGAUUGGUAGUACAUUGUGAUAAAAUAAAAAAGCUUAAAACUUAAUAAAAAUUAAAAAAAAAAAAAAAAAAAAAAAA